This 251-nucleotide ribosomal RNA is filed under the name uncultured bacterium. RNAcentral's name for it is "partial 16S ribosomal RNA". It matches the Rfam family "Bacterial small subunit ribosomal RNA", at positions 333 to 603 of the family's 1533-position model. The record is from RNAcentral.
UGACCUACGGGGGGCAGCAGUGGGGAAUAUUGCACAAUGGGGGAAACCCUGAUGCAGCGACGCCGCGUGAGUGAAGAAGUAUCUCGGUACGUAAAGCUCUAUCAGCAGGGAAGAAAAUGACGGUACCUGACUAAGAAGCCCCGGCUCACUACGUGCCAGCAGCCGCGGUAAUACGUAGGGGACAAGCGUUAUCCGGAUUUACUGGGUGUAAAGGGAGCGUAGACGGCAGCGCAAGUCUGGAGUGAAAUGCC